UGAGAGUUCCCUGUUCUGGAUGUUCUCUACAAGUGCAGUCAUCCAAAACGGGACCUUUCUGG
Molecule: microRNA precursor, 62 nt
Organism: Bos indicus x Bos taurus (hybrid cattle)
Lineage: Eukaryota; Metazoa; Chordata; Mammalia; Artiodactyla; Bovidae
Source: Ensembl